This 334-nucleotide unclassified non-coding RNA is filed under the name soil metagenome. RNAcentral's name for it is "partial contains 5.8S ribosomal RNA, internal transcribed spacer 2, and large subunit ribosomal RNA". The stretch from base 1 to 120 matches the Rfam family "5.8S ribosomal RNA", at positions 35 to 154 of the family's 154-position model. The record is from RNAcentral.
GAUGAAGAACGUAGCGAAAUGCGAUAAGUAAUGUGAAUUGCAGAAUUCAGUGAAUCAUCGGAUCUUUGAACGCACAUUGCGCCCCCCAGUAUUCUGGCGGGCAUGCCUGUUCGAGCGUCAUUUCAACCAUCAAGCCCUGCUUGUGUUGGGGUCCUGCGGCUGCCCGCAGGCCCUGAAAACCAGUGGCGGGCUCGCUAGUCACACCGAGCGCAGUAGCACAUCUCGCUCAGGGCGUGCGGCGGGCUCCAGCCGUUAAAGCACCCACCUUUCGCAAGGUUGACCUCGGAUCAGGUAGGAAUACCCGCUGAACUUAAGCAUAUCAAUAAGCGGAGGA